UACGUAGGUGGCAAGCGUUAUCCGGAUUUACUGGGCGUAAAGCGCACGCAGGCGGCUGUCCAAGUCUGACGUGAAAGCUCCUGGCUUAACUGGGAGAGGUCGUUGGAAACUAGAUGGCUUGAGGCGAGGAGAGGGGUGUAGAAUUCCCGGUGUAGUGGUGGAAUGCGUAGAUAUCGGGAGGAAUACCAGUGGCGAAAGCGACACCCUGGCCUUUGCCUGACGCUCAGGUGCGAAAGCGUGGGUAGCGAACGGGAUUAGAUACCCCGGUAGUCCACGCCGUAAACGAUGAAUACUAGGUGUGGGGCGUGUCAAAGCGUUCUGUGCCGAAGCCAACGCGAUAAGUAUUCCGCCUGGGGACUACGGCCGCAAGGCUA
RNAcentral lists this ribosomal RNA (374 nucleotides) under uncultured prokaryote. RNAcentral's name for it is "bacterial SSU rRNA". It matches the Rfam family "Bacterial small subunit ribosomal RNA", at positions 524 to 896 of the family's 1533-position model. The record is from RNAcentral.